UCUCAUGAGGUUGGUGAGAUCCACGUGUGUGAGUCUGAGGUCCAACAGAUGUCUAACAGCGGGCCUGAGGAGUUAAUCUUUGCAAGAUGAGGCAAAGGAGAAAUGCUUCAACCCUGGCUGGUCACUGGCAAUCCUUCGUAGGCAGCGUUAUUGACACCCAAGGAUCCAGGAAAUAGGGGCAGGAUGUCUGUGUCACCAAAGCUAGAAGAAAGGCUCUCAUCUACGAGUAUUUGAUGUCUGCUGAGAUGAGGGAGAGAAACACCAAAUCUGUGGACCUCUACAACAUCUUCCGCCUGCACCUUCAUAAAGAAAUACAGAAGAUUCUCAGAUGAAAAUAAGUUAAUUUUGCUUUGGGGAGAAGCCAAAAACUUUAGCCAAUCAAUAGUGUUUUACCUUAAGAACUUCUGUAGGUUGCUGAAUCAGAAGGAAACCAUUAUCAGAACAGAGUGCCAUACUUUAAAGUACACAGACACAAAACACAACAAUGUUCUUUGACAUCAGAUGAUAAAUGGAUGCUGAGGGAGAAAACAGCCUUUUAUCCUCCAGGAAGAACUGAACUUGGAGUGCAUGCCUAAAGAAAACACAAACAAAGGACUGAAAUAGAAGGAAGAAAAAUAUUUUCAUGGUUUUCAAGAACUAAUAUCCUGGAAGAGGUGACGAUGCAGACCAAGGAGAAUAGGUGUGUGGUGGUGGUUUCCAGAGAAUCAGAGCAUUGACACACAAGAAAGCCCUUCCCAAGCACUGGAUUUAUGUACAUCUUUAGGAGAAAAGGAGUUAAAUUAUUUAGUAAGCCAUAUAAAAUAUUAUGUAUAUGUUACAUGAAAGCAAAUGUGUUACUGAAGGCACCCAUCUGAGAUGUUAAGCCAAAAGUUGCAGUAUAAAGGAUCUGCUUGGUGAGGGCUGCUUUGAGAAUUGUGUCCUGUCUGUUGCUGGCAGGAAGAUGUUAGGGCAGCAGUAUGUGAUGGCACCAAGAGGGAUUCCAGAUUCAGACCAGACUGGGGAAACCUCCCUGAGCAGCCUAAGGAGAAAGCAGCAGUUCUAGUUACUACAUGUUUAGGAAUGUGACACAUUUGGGAUUUAUUGGCAGUGGUGGCAGUGCCUAAGAGAAGACUCCAGUUUCAUUAAGGAGAGAGUCUUUUUUAGUCCCCUUGACUCAUUCAAGGAAGAAAAAGUCUUUUCUCUGAACAAUGUAAGUCCAUAUCUCAUUCUAUCAUCUUUUUCUUUGGUUACUGGAGGAUUUUGCUGGAUGGUUUGAGAAGACAGAUACUUAAUGAGGGUGGAUUUUUAUGAAAAUAAAAAGAAAACCAAAGAUUAACCAUUGCAACAGACCAGUUAAUGAUUGCAACAGAGCAGUUUUUUAGUCUGGAGGGCUGCUAGUUGAGAAGACUUCCAUACGCUGGGUGGUGGUGAUCUGCAGGUUCAAAUGUUUUGGGAGAUGGCGUGGGUGUCAGUGUUGUAGUCAUGGGCAUUUCCCGGAGUGGAGCAUGGGGAUGUGGGGAAAACCCGAAAAGGGAACCAUUAAGGUCAUCCCAUUGGAUGAGGAGAAGCACUUAGGCUGCAGGGAUGGCAGGUGUCUUCAAAGAAGCGUCAGAGAGUGCGACAAAAACUGCAUUUGGAUGACAGGACCAACAUGACUAAAGUUAAAGAGCAGACAAGAGUUUAUUUGACUGGAAGAUUUGGCUGUUUUUGUAGCAUACGGCAUUUUAAAGUAAUAGCGAGAAUUACGAUCAUUAAGUUAUACAGCGAGGUGUCACAAAUAGCAAAGGUGAAGGUCCUGACAUAUUCCCUAGGAAUGUCACAGAAUUUCUGAAAUUUUAUAUAAUAUUAUUAGUGAUAUGAAUA
This is a long non-coding RNA of Fukomys damarensis (Damara mole-rat), 1842 nucleotides long. RefSeq lists it as uncharacterized. The record is from RefSeq and is a predicted model, not a curated record. NCBI's taxonomy places the organism in Eukaryota, Metazoa, Chordata, Mammalia, Rodentia, Bathyergidae. The transcript has 3 exons.